RNAcentral lists this ribosomal RNA (492 nucleotides) under uncultured bacterium. Its description in RNAcentral is "partial 16S ribosomal RNA". It matches the Rfam family "Bacterial small subunit ribosomal RNA", at positions 29 to 507 of the family's 1533-position model. The record is from RNAcentral.
AGUGAACGCUGGCGGUAGGCCUAACACAUGCAAGUCGAACGGCAGCACAGUAAGAGCUUGCUCUUACGGGUGGCGAGUGGCGGACGGGUGAGGAAUACAUCGGAAUCUACUUUUUCGUGGGGGAUAACGUAGGGAAACUUACGCUAAUACCGCAUACGACCUACGGGUGAAAGCAGGGGAUCUUCGGACCUUGCGCGAUUGAAUGAGCCGAUGUCGGAUUAGCUAGUUGGCGGGGUAAAGGCCCACCAAGGCGACGAUCCGUAGCUGGUCUGAGAGGAUGAGUAGCCACACUGGAACUGAGACACGGGCCAGACUCCUACGGGAGGCAGCAGGGGGGAAUAUUGGGCAAAGGGCGGAAGCCUGAUCCAGCCAAACCGCGUGGGUGAAGAAGGCCUUCGGGGUGUAAAACCCUUUUUGUUGGGAAGAAAAACAGCAAGUUUAAACCCCGCCGUUCUGACGGUACCCAAAAAAAAAGCAACGGCUAACUUCGUU